RNAcentral lists this ribosomal RNA (816 nucleotides) under uncultured bacterium. Its description in RNAcentral is "bacterial SSU rRNA". It matches the Rfam family "Bacterial small subunit ribosomal RNA", at positions 613 to 1430 of the family's 1533-position model. The record is from RNAcentral.
CCUGGGAACUGCGUUNUGAACUGGGUGACUAGAGUGUGUCAGAGGGAGGUAGAAUNCCACGUGUAGCAGUGAAAUGCGUAGAGAUGUGGAGGAAUACCGAUGGCGAAGGCAGCCUCCUGGGAUAACACUGACGUUCAUGCCCGAAAGCGUGGGUAGCAAACAGGAUUAGAUACCCUGGUAGUCCACGCCCUAAACGAUGUCGAUUAGCUGUUGGGCAGCAUGACUGCUUAGUAGCGAAGCUAACGCGUGAAAUCGACCGCCUGGGGAGUACGGUCGCAAGAUUAAAACUCAAAGGAAUUGACGGGGACCCGCACAAGCGGUGGAUGAUGUGGAUUAAUUCGAUGCAACGCGAAGAACCUUACCUGGUCUUGACAUGUACGGAACCCUCCAGAGACGGAGGGGUGCCUUCGGGAGCCGUAACACAGGUGCUGCAUGGCUGUCGUCAGCUCGUGUCGUGAGAUGUUGGGUUAAGUCCCGCAACGAGCGCAACCCUUGUCAUUAGUUGCCAUCAUUAAGUUGGGCACUCUAAUGAGACUGCCGGUGACAAGCCGGAGGAAGGUGGGGAUGACGUCAAGUCCUCAUGGCCCUUAUGACCAGGGCUUCACACGUCAUACAAUGGUCGGUACAGAGGGUAGCCAAGCCGCGAGGUGGAGCCAAUCUCACAAAACCGAUCGUAGUCCGGAUUGCACUCUGCAACUCGAGUGCAUGAAGUCGGAAUCGCUAGUAAUCGCAGGUCAGCAUACUGCGGUGAAUACGUUCCCGGGUCUUGUACACACCGCCCGUCGCACCAUGGGAGUGGGGGAUACCAGAAGUAGG